GCCUGAGUAUUCGGUUACUGAUGGAUACUGGAAGGGGGAAAACAAUACGCUGAGAAGACCUGCAGGGUACAACUUCCAGGAAAUGGGCAGUGGUGGAGGAGUGAUGAGCAUGCCACAUCACAACUGGUCAACGGUCCGAAGGGAAAGGGAAAGUGUUAGGAAAAUCAGCAGCUUUCCGGAAGACCAGAGGGACUAUCCAGCGUAUUCCACAUAUCAGUAUGAAUAUGAGGGGAGGGGCAGUGACUGUCAAUCACUGGAUCAGCUGACUGUUAGCAACCUUGGGGAUAACCUGGACUUCCUGCAGAACCUGGGGCCAAAGUUCAGCACUCUGGGUGGGAUCUGUCAACAGUCAAUGGAGCGCAGGAACGUCCGGCUGUGAAAGUGGGUGAUGAUUUGAGGCCUUAUAUCGCUCCACAUUUUUACAAUACUUGUUCCAGGGUUGUUGCUGGUGUUGUUUUUUUGUUCUUUUUUUUUGUGCUGUGAUUUUUUUAUUUUUUUUUUUGAGGCAGUGCUCUAGGCCAUUCUUGAAUUUGAGCGCCAUGACACCUGUACAGGCACAGGAUGAUUAUGGAUAUAAGCUAUGAACAUCACAUCUUCAGUGCUAAGACUGCCUGGCCUCAAGGAAUACACUGUGCAUUUGUGCUCAUGAUGGAUGUGUAAAGAAGCAUGUUGGGUGCUUGAAAUAAAAACUUGUGUCUGCAUCCCACCAGCUUGUCUGAAAUGAGGCGGUUGGUGGCUUGGACUGUUAGUUUUGGCUGUGACCAGUUUGAUGGCCUGAUAGGCUGCCAUACUGUUCAAAUCUUAAGAUCCUUUUUUUUAUUCUGCAAACACAAAGCCACACAUCACUACAACAAUUAUUUAUGCUGGUAGUGUUUGUCUGGACUUAUCCUGUACUUGCUGCCUUUAGCUAUCAUACUGUUUUGUACACUUUAACUUUGCACUGCAGUAUCACUUGUAUAUUUAAAGGGUCAGUCCAACCAAAAAUGACAAUUCUAUCAUUUAUUCAUCUUCAUGUCAAUCCAACCCUAUACAGAAACUUAUGUCCACCAUGGAAUAAAAUUUAUACUGCAAUUGUUUCCUCACCAUUGAAAUUUUUUAUCUCACAAUUCUGACUUUUAUUUCUCAAAAUUCUGAUUUUACAUCUUGGAAUUCUGUUAU
Long non-coding RNA from Cyprinus carpio carpio, 1158 nucleotides. Lineage: Eukaryota; Metazoa; Chordata; Actinopteri; Cypriniformes; Cyprinidae. The record is from Ensembl.